CCUACGGGAGGCAGCAGUGGGGAAUUUUGGACAAUGGGCGCAAGCCUGAUCCAGCAAUGCCGCGUGAGUGAAGAAGGCCUUCGGGUUGUAAAGCUCUUUUGUCAGGGAAGAAACGGAUGAGGCUAAUAUCCUUGUCUAAUGACGGUACCUGAAGAAUAAGCACCGGCUAACUACGUGCCAGCAGCCGCGGUAAUACGUAGGGUACAAGCGUUAAUCGGAAUUACUGGGCGUAAAGCGUGCGCAGGCGGUUUUGUAAGUUUGUCGUGAAAUCCCCGGGCUCAACCUGGGAAUUGCGAUGAAGACUGCAAGGCUAGAAUCUGGCAGAGGGGGGUAGAAUUCCACGUGUAGCAGUGAAAUGCGUAGAGAUGUGGAGGAACACCGAUGGCGAAGGCAGCCCCCUGGGUCAAGAUUGACGCUCAUGCACGAAAGCGUGGGGAGCAAACAGGAUUAGAUACCCUGGUAGUCCACGCCCUAAACGAUGUCUACUAGUUGUCGGGUUUUAAUUAACUUGGUAACGCAGCUAACGCGUGAAGUAGACCGCCUGGGGAUACGGUCGCAAGAUUAAAACUUAAAGGAAUUGACGG
This 584-nucleotide ribosomal RNA is filed under the name uncultured bacterium. RNAcentral's name for it is "bacterial SSU rRNA". It matches the Rfam family "Bacterial small subunit ribosomal RNA", at positions 338 to 916 of the family's 1533-position model. The record is from RNAcentral.